Molecule: ribosomal RNA, 321 nt
Filed under: uncultured soil bacterium
Lineage: Bacteria
Description: bacterial SSU rRNA
Rfam family: Bacterial small subunit ribosomal RNA
Source: RNAcentral
AGAUUGAACGCUGGCGGCAGGCCUAACACAUGCAAGUCGAGCGGCAGCACGGGUACUUGUACCUGGUGGCGAGCGGCGGACGGGUGAGUAAUGCCUAGGAAUCUGCCUGGUAGUGGGGGAUAACGCUCGGAAACGGACGCUAAUACCGCAUACGUCCUACGGGAGAAAGCAGGGGACCUUCGGGCCUUGCGCUAUCAGAUGAGCCUAGGUCGGAUUAGCUAGUUGGUGAGGUAAUGGCUCACCAAGGCGACGAUCCGUAACUGGUCUGAGAGGAUGAUCAGUCACACUGGAACUGAGACACGGUCCAGACCUUCCGUACGG